AUGCCCGAGCGCACGGUUCCGCACACGUUCAUGAUGCCCCGCGGCAAAAACGACGGCCUGCAGGGAAACAGCGCGAGCGAGGUAGGUGUUCGACGGCCCACAACACUUGCAGUGGGUUCGCGUGCUAAUGAGCAGUUAGGGAACUCGGCAUACGGCGACGGACUGGACUCCGUCAGAACCAUGGCACUCGCAGCUCAGUGGGAUAUGUACACGGCCUCGGAGGAGCUGCUGCCGCUAGGUGGGCGCCUCCUCGCGCGGGAGGCUGAGCCUCACCUCCUCCCCCGCCGCCGCCAAGGCCGAGUAGACGGCGGCGGCGGAGACGCAGCGGGGCCCGUUGGUGUCGGCGCCGAAGAGCCCGCAGGGGUCCGGGGCCUCCGCCUCUGGGCCGGACGCCCGGGACGAGCCGGGCGACGACGUGGGGCUGAGCUGCACCGCCGUGGUGUCCUGCAGCGUGUGCUCGCUGGUCUCUAUCUCGAACGCCGCCCCCCGCCCCAUCAGCCCCGCGCCGCCGCCGCCGCCGCCGCCCCCCGCCUUGGAGCGGCACGCGCUGCGCGGCGGCGGGAGGCGGCUGCACACGCAGCACGCCCCGAAGAAGGAGAAGGCCACCAGCAGGAGGACGGGUCCGAUGACGAUGGGGGGGUUGGCGGAGGGCACCAGCGUGCUGAAGGCGAACGCGCCCACCAGCGUGAUGUUGAGGCCGGCCAGCAUGAUGCACAGGCCGCAGGCGCAGCAGAGCGCGGGCGACGGGAGGCCGUGGGGGCGCGACGUCCGCCGCUUCUUCUUCUGGGGCUCCUUUUUGGGCGGAGGGGUGCCAGCGGUUCUGUCCGUGAUGACCAUGUCGCCCCCCCCCCCCCCGGCUCCGGCUCCGUCCUUGUCUCUUUGUAUUAUUGGAUCUCCGGGCGCUUCACUCCCAACUCGUCCUCAUGGCGGUUUCCGAAUGAGCCGCGUUCGCCGACUGAAGCGGAGUCUCAGACAGCGGGUCAGCGCGCGCACUCAUCACACUGUUCACUGGCGUCACCGUGUCGGGAAAGGGGAUUUCAAACGGCACUUACGGUGCAGAUCCUCAGUGGUGACGCCUGA
RNAcentral lists this long non-coding RNA (1080 nucleotides) under Betta splendens (Siamese fighting fish). Its description in RNAcentral is "lncRNA (ENSBSLG00000023328.1)". Lineage: Eukaryota; Metazoa; Chordata; Actinopteri; Anabantiformes; Osphronemidae. The record is from RNAcentral.